AACGAACGCUGGCGGCAUGCCUAACACAUGCAAGUCGAACGAGACCUUCGGGUAUAGUGGCGCACGGGUGCGUAACGCGUGGGAACCUGCCCUUAGGUUCGGAAUAGCUCCCCGAAAGGGGUGCUAAUACCGGAUAAUGUCUUCGGACCAAAGAUUUAUCGCCUUUGGAUGGGCCCGCGUUGGAUUAGCUAGUUGGUAGGGUAAAAGCCUACCAAGGCGACGAUCCAUAGCUGGUCUGAGAGGAUGAUCAGCCACACUGGGACUGAGACACGGCCCAGACUCCUACGGGAGGCAGCAGUGGGGAAUAUUGGACAAUGGGCGAAAGCCUGAUCCAGCAAUGCCGCGUGAGUGAUGAAGGCCUUAGGGUUGUAAAGCUCUUUUACCCGGGAUGAUAAUGACAGUACCGGGAGAAUAAGCUCCGGCUAACUCCGUG
This 433-nucleotide ribosomal RNA is filed under the name uncultured bacterium. Its description in RNAcentral is "partial 16S ribosomal RNA". It matches the Rfam family "Bacterial small subunit ribosomal RNA", at positions 29 to 507 of the family's 1533-position model. The record is from RNAcentral.